RNAcentral lists this ribosomal RNA (450 nucleotides) under uncultured bacterium. RNAcentral describes it as "partial 16S ribosomal RNA". It matches the Rfam family "Bacterial small subunit ribosomal RNA", at positions 354 to 796 of the family's 1533-position model. The record is from RNAcentral.
GUGGGGAAUCUUCCGCAAUGGACGAAAGUCUGACGGAGCAACGCCGCGUGAGUGAUGACGGCCUUCGGGUUGUAAAGCUCUGUGAUCGGGGACGAAUGGCUGGUGUGCUAAUACCACAUCAGAGUGACGGUACCCGAAUAGCAAGCCACGGCUAACUACGUGCCAGCAGCCGCGGUAAUACGUAGGUGGCCAGCGUUGUCCGGAAUUAUUGGGCGUAAAGCGCGCGCAGGCGGCUUCUUAAGUCCAACUUAAAAGUGCGGGGCUUAACCCCGGGAUGGGAUGGAAACUGGGAGGCUGGAGUAUCGGAGAGGAAAGUGGAAUUCCUAGUGUAGCGGUGAAAUGCGUAGAGAUUAGGAAGAACACCGGUGGCGAAGGCGACUUUCUGGACGACAACUGACGCUGAGGCGCGAAAGCGUGGGGAGCAAACAGGAUUAGAUACCCCGGUAGUCC